RNAcentral lists this long non-coding RNA (1510 nucleotides) under Gallus gallus (chicken). RNAcentral's name for it is "lncRNA (ENSGALG00010011226.1)". Lineage: Eukaryota; Metazoa; Chordata; Aves; Galliformes; Phasianidae. The record is from RNAcentral.
CCCGGGGCAGGAGGCUCGGCUCGGCUCGGCUCCUCGCGGCUUCUCCGCGCCCGCGCUCAAGUCCGGCCCGCAGUAAAACUCCGGUGAGGAUGCCCGGGAAAAAAAAAAUAAAAAAUAAAAAUAAUGAUAAUCAAAAAAAUCCACGCAGCCAAAUAAAUAAAUAAAAAAGGAACCCCUGGAGCGGCGGACGCCAGUGACCCAGUCGGCAAAAGCACGGAUCCGGCCAACAGAUAGGCACGCACACGGCAGCCCCUGCCAAGCUUGCAGCUCCUGCUCAAUUGUGCAUUCCUCUCGCGGCGCAGGGGAGGCAGGCGAGCGCGCAGCAAGUAAGGCGCCUCCCACCAGAGCCUAAUGGUGGUUUCUUAAUGCGCACAAGAUAAAUAAAUGAUCCGGGCAAAGCCCUCGGGAGGGUGGAUGCUUCGGCUAGCAGAGCCUGGGAAAGGGAGGAAGAGAAAGGAAGGAAGAGAAGAAGAGAAAAGAAAAAGGGGUAACUGCGGAACGCCUGAACCCAUCCGGCGGCGGCGCGGCAGUAACCCACUGCGCUGUGCCGCACGGCAAAAAGACGCGUGGAGGGAGGGAGGUGGAGACACCUUCAGAGAGGAUUCCUCGCCAGCGACCGGGGCUCGGGACGAGAUGCUUUCUGACGCUGAUGCUCUCUGAUGGCUAACAAUGAACAGCGUUUGUUGUUUGUGAAAGGGAUUCCCUCCAGGAAAGCGCAGACCAGCAGCAGCCACCUGCAACAAAAGGACAGCCCUCUUCGGCAGCCGGGGCGAGGGAUGGCACGGGCACACGUCUCGCGGCUACCAGGAUGCUCCCAGACAAGUGCGGAUCCUGAGGCUGCCCCAACUCCUUCGUCUACUUUAGACGGUUACGUUCAUUGUGACUGUGACCGACAGUGUGUGCUUCCCUCUCACCUUCUGGACAUUUAAACACUUGGGGUGGUCACUGAAGCGUUAACAGCGCGGUACCAAAGGGUGAGCUUAAUGCCGUUUGCCAAAUUUUAGAGAAUGGUUUAUAAAACCAUGUAUGUGCAAUAGCUUUUAACCCCUUCUUCUAAACUAUUAAACCAUUGGCGUCAUUUCCUGGUAAUGACACUUCGGUAUAAUUUCCUUAGUCACUUAUGUAGAAAUGUAUUAAUAUUUAUAUGGAAUAAUUGAACAGGAAGAAAAUGGAAACAAAAUGCAAAACAUUUUUUUGUUGUUGUUGUUCUGUCUAUACACAAACAGAAAAUAAGAUGCUGGUUACGAAGGUGGAUAGUAAAAGGACAAGGGGGUAUGGUUCUAAACUGAGACAGGGGAGGUUUAGGUUAGAUAUUAGGAGGAAGUUUUUCACCCAGAGGGUGGUGAGGCACUGAACAGGUUGCCCAAGGAGGCUGUGGAUGCCCCAUCCCUGGAGGCAUUCAAGGCCAGGCUGCAUGUGGCUCUGGGCAGCCUGGUCUGGUGGUUGGCGACCCUGCCCAUGGCAAGGAAUUUGAAACUAGAUGAUCUCUGAGGUCCUUUCCAACCCAGGC